RNAcentral lists this small RNA (103 nucleotides) under Plasmodium falciparum 3D7. RNAcentral describes it as "Pfa-raR7295". Lineage: Eukaryota; Apicomplexa; Aconoidasida; Haemosporida; Plasmodiidae. The record is from RNAcentral.
UUUUUCUCAAUAAUAUCUAACGAUAUAGUAAUAAUACAACAUAUUUCUGUGUUGUAAAUUAUUUACAAAUGUGCAAAACCAACGUUUUGGAAAUUGUGUAUGA